This is a long non-coding RNA of Seriola dumerili (greater amberjack), 571 nucleotides long. RefSeq lists it as uncharacterized. The transcript has 5 exons. NCBI's taxonomy places the organism in Eukaryota, Metazoa, Chordata, Actinopteri, Carangiformes, Carangidae. The record is from RefSeq and is a predicted model, not a curated record.
UGCUCGGUCUGCGUGUCGCCAUGAAAGGACGAUUCAAAUCUCUUUUCAACAAAUGUGGAGCUGAAUUAGAUUUUUUUCCUUUGUUAAAUUGUUUUCCACAUAUUUUCGACUGUGUCUUGUAGAGAACGAGGUCUCCUGCGCACUUGGCGCUAAUGUCUCAUCACCAUAAUGCGCUUCAGCUGUUGAGAAUGUUAACUGCCCCAGACUUGAGGUGAUCACGGAUGCUCUCCGAAACGAGCUCGUGUCAUGGGGAGAAUAAUGAGCACCAACCAUCACGAGACGGACGACGUGCGUCAGUGGCUCUGAGACACUCAUCAAUCUGCGGAACAGAUGCUGUCCGAAAAAGAAAAAAAAACCUCCAUGUGUCAACGCAAUCUGACAAUCUGCCAGAUGAGACGCAGAUCUCAGCCUGUGUGGCAGCAGGGAGUCUUCUCUAAGGAAGUACACCCUUGAGGCUAAUACAGUUCAAACAUUGACUUUAGUGAUGAAGACUAACAUAAAACUGUCAUCCGGAGUUCUUCCACAUUUCUGCACAUUGUUCCUCCACUGACGGCUCUACGUCUGAAGCAGG